RNAcentral lists this ribosomal RNA (253 nucleotides) under uncultured bacterium. RNAcentral's name for it is "partial 16S ribosomal RNA". It matches the Rfam family "Bacterial small subunit ribosomal RNA", at positions 524 to 776 of the family's 1533-position model. The record is from RNAcentral.
UACAGAGGGUGCAAGCGUUGUUCGGAAUUAUUGGGCGUAAAGCGCGUGUAGGCGGCUUUGCAAGUCGGGUGUGAAAGCCCUCAGCUUAACUGAGGAAGUGCGCCCGAAACUGCAGAGCUUGAGUACCGGAGAGGAUGGCGGAAUUCCCCAAGUAGAGGUGAAAUGCGUAGAUAUCUGGAGGAACACCGGUGGCGAAGGCGGCAUCCUGGACCAAUAUUGACGCUGAGGAGCGAAAGCCAGGGGAGCAAACGGG